RNAcentral lists this long non-coding RNA (534 nucleotides) under Cricetulus griseus (Chinese hamster). Its description in RNAcentral is "lncRNA (ENSCGRG00015040838.1)". The record is from RNAcentral. Lineage: Eukaryota; Metazoa; Chordata; Mammalia; Rodentia; Cricetidae.
CCUCAUCCAGCAACUGGUAGAACACCCACAACUAAUCACUGAACUGAAAUGGAAUCCAGAUGCAGAGAAGGACGAGGAAAAGCAAAGGGGUCCAGACCAGUUUUGCAUGAAGCAGCCUGGAAGUUUGCAGCUCAUCCUCACCCAGACACCCUGGUGAACCAACUAGAAACCUGACAGUUCUCCUAGGCUGUGCAAGAAAGGUGAGCACACACAGGAGGAAAUGCAUAGAGAGACUGGAGUUCAGGAUGAAGUCAGCAGGUCACAGGCACCCUGGGACCUUGUCACACUUGCCUGACCCUGACCCCGCCGGCACAAGAGGGUCUGGUUCUGCGGUUCCUUUACUCGCAGCAAUUGAGUCUGGUUCCCAAGAAGACGCCCCACGCAGGACGAGGAGAGCGAGCGGGUUGGAAGGAAUCCACGGCCGGAGGUGCGGGAGUGUUUCCCGGGAUGACCAGCAGGGGGCGCGGGGCGGGAAAGGCCUUCGGGGCUCCUGAAGUUGGGGUUCCCGGGAAUGAGGGGAGUGUGUGAGCCGGG